GGGGUUGUGGCCUAAUGGUAGAGCACUUGCCUAGCAUGCAUGAAGCACUGGGUUUGAUCCCCAGCACCA
RNAcentral lists this transfer RNA (69 nucleotides) under Urocitellus parryii (Arctic ground squirrel). RNAcentral describes it as "Spermophilus parryii (Arctic ground squirrel) tRNA". It matches the Rfam family "tRNA". Rfam says of the family: Transfer RNA (tRNA) molecules are approximately 80 nucleotides in length. Lineage: Eukaryota; Metazoa; Chordata; Mammalia; Rodentia; Sciuridae. The record is from Rfam by way of RNAcentral. RNAcentral also lists the same sequence under 1 other name.